This is a small nuclear RNA of Callithrix jacchus (white-tufted-ear marmoset), 140 nucleotides long. Its record names the gene U4. It matches the Rfam family "U4 spliceosomal RNA". From Rfam's summary of the family: U4 small nuclear RNA (U4 snRNA) is a component of the major U2-dependent spliceosome. The structure of U4 snRNA from yeast and human has been reported. Lineage: Eukaryota; Metazoa; Chordata; Mammalia; Primates; Cebidae. The record is from Ensembl.
AGCUUUAUGCAGUGGCAGUAUCAUAGUCAAUGAGGUUUAUUCAAGGUGGAUUAUUGCUAAUUGAAAACUUUUCCUAAUACCCUGCCAUGACAACUUGACACAUAGUUGGCAUUGGCAAUUUUUGACAGUCUCUACGGAGA